Molecule: ribosomal RNA, 394 nt
Filed under: uncultured bacterium
Lineage: Bacteria
Description: bacterial SSU rRNA
Rfam family: Bacterial small subunit ribosomal RNA
Source: RNAcentral
UCGGGAAUUUUGGGCAAUGGGCGAAAGCCUGACCCAGCAACGCCGCGUGAGGGAUGAAGUAUUUCGGUAUGUAAACCUCGAAAGAAUGGGAAGAAUAAAUGACGGUACCAUUUAUAAGCUCCGGCUAACUACGUGCCAGCAGCCGCGGUAAUACGUAGGGAGCAAGAGUUGUUCGGAUUUACUGGGCGUAAAGGGCGCGUAGGCGGCGCGGUAAGUCACUUGUGAAAUCUCUGAGCUUAACUCAGAACGGCCAAGUGAUACUGCUGUGCUAGAGUGCGGAAGAGGCAACCGGAAUUCUUGGUGUAGCGGUGAAAUGCGGAGAUAUCAAGAGGAACACCUGAGGCGAAGGCGGGUUGCUGGGCCGACACUGACGCUGAUGCGCGAAAGCCAGGGG